RNAcentral lists this ribosomal RNA (465 nucleotides) under uncultured bacterium. Its description in RNAcentral is "bacterial SSU rRNA". It matches the Rfam family "Bacterial small subunit ribosomal RNA", at positions 338 to 795 of the family's 1533-position model. The record is from RNAcentral.
CCUACGGGUGGCACCAGUGGGGAAUAUUGCACAAUGGGCGCAAGCCUGAUGCAGCCAUGCCGCGUGUGUGAAGAAGGCCUUCGGGUUGUAAAGCACUUUCAGCGGGGAGGAAGGCGGUGAGGUUAAUAACCUCACCGAUUGACGUUACCCGCAGAAGAAGCACCGGCUAACUCCGUGCCAGCAGCCGCGGUAAUACGGAGGGUGCAAGCGUUAAUCGGAAUUACUGGGCGUAAAGCGCACGCAGGCGGUCUGUCAAGUCGGAUGUGAAAUCCCCGGGCUCAACCUGGGAACUGCAUUCGAAACUGGCAGGCUAGAGUCUUGUAGAGGGGGGUAGAAUUCCAGGUGUAGCGGUGAAAUGCGUAGAGAUGUGGAGGAACACCAGUGGCGAAGGCGGCUCUCUGGUCUGUAACUGACGCUGAGGCGCGAAAGCGUGGGGAGCAAACAGGAUUAGAUACCCGAGUAGUC